GACGAACGCUGGCGGCGUGCUUAACACAUGCAAGUCGAACGGAAAGGCCCUGCUUUUGUGGGGUGCUCGAGUGGCGAACGGGUGAGUAACACGUGAGUAACCUGCCCUUGACUUUGGGAUAACUUCAGGAAACUGGGGCUAAUACCGGAUAGGAGCUCCUGCUGCAUGGUGGGGGUUGGAAAGUUUCGGCGGGUGGGGAUGGACUCGCGGCUUAUCAGCUUGUUGGUGGGGUAGUGGCUUACCAAGGCUUUGACGGGUAGCCGGCCUGAGAGGGUGACCGGCGACAUUGGGACUGAGAGACGGACCAGACUCCAACGGGAGGCAGCAGUGGGGAAUAUUGCACAAUGGGCGGAAGCCUGAUGCAGCAACGCCGCGUGCGGGAUGACGGCCUUCGGGUUGUAAACCGCUUUCGCCUGUGACGAAGCGUGAGUGACGGUAAUGGGUAAAGAAGCACCGGCUAACUACGUG
Molecule: ribosomal RNA, 468 nt
Filed under: uncultured bacterium
Lineage: Bacteria
Description: partial 16S ribosomal RNA
Rfam family: Bacterial small subunit ribosomal RNA
Source: RNAcentral